ACUACGGGAGGCAGCAGUGGGGGAUAUUGCACAAUGGAGGGAACUCUGAUGCAGCGACGCCGCGUGCGGGAAGAAGGUUUUCGGAUUGUAAACCUCUGUCUUCGGUGACGAAACGAGACGGUAGCCGAGGAGGAAGCCACGGCUAACUACGUGCCAGCAGCCGCGGUAAGACGAAGGUGGCAAGCGUUGUCCGGAAUGACGGGGUGAAAAGGGGGCGUAGGCGUGAAAGCAAGUUGAAUGUUUAAGGUACGUGCUCAACCUGUACAAGCGUUCAAAACUGUUUUUCUAGAGUGGAGUAGAGGUAAGCGGAAUUUCUAGUGUAGCGGUGAAAUGCGUAAAUAUUAGGAGGAACACCAGUGGCGAAGGCGGCUUACUGGGCUUUAACUGACGCUGAGGCUCGAAAGCGUGGGUAGCAAACAGGAUUAGAUACCCCUGUAGUC
This 440-nucleotide ribosomal RNA is filed under the name uncultured bacterium. RNAcentral's name for it is "partial 16S ribosomal RNA". It matches the Rfam family "Bacterial small subunit ribosomal RNA", at positions 338 to 795 of the family's 1533-position model. The record is from RNAcentral.